AGUUUAAAUAGUGUAAUAAAGCACAUUUGGUUUUCAUCCAAAUAGUGGGUUUAUACCCUUUAAAUUU
This 67-nucleotide transfer RNA is filed under the name Brachidontes exustus (scorched mussel). RNAcentral describes it as "tRNA-Glu". It matches the Rfam family "tRNA". Rfam says of the family: Transfer RNA (tRNA) molecules are approximately 80 nucleotides in length. Lineage: Eukaryota; Metazoa; Mollusca; Bivalvia; Mytilida; Mytilidae. The record is from RNAcentral.